AUGUCUAUUCCACCGAAGUUCAGGAGGAAGAUAUUUGUCGGUGCGGCGGGGCUUUGCGCUGUCGGUGACCAUGGCCAUGUGCACGGCAGCUGCCACUCUACUCCUUUCAAGGUGGUCUUUGUGUACACAACAAAAGAUAUAAGAACCCAUGGAUGUGUUUACUCUUCGGAGACUGGCAUAUGGAAUAUUAUAUCAACAUCGACUCCAUGUCAGCUUUUUGUUGUUUGUUUUGCUGGUACCCUCAUUGCUAAGGCCCUUUAUUGGCCGCUUUUUAUGCCCUGCAAGGGCAUACUGCAGUUUAAUUUGGAAGAGCAGAGCCUAGCAGUGAUUAAGGGGCCUCCUUUGACAAAUGGUUUCUACAAGAGCAGCUUUCGGAUCAUCCAGGCCGAGGACGGUAUUGUUGGCUUAGCCAUAUUGUCUUACCCUCGCUUCCAAAUGUGUAAAAGGGACAUCAAUUGGCAUGGUGUUGCCAUAUGGGUGCUGCAAAAGACCAUUGAAAUACAUAGCAUUCUUGGGCUCCCUCCCCAGAUUGAAGGAGGGACAAGAGUGAGACAAACUAAAGUGGGAUAUUCUGAGGAUACUGAUGUAGUUUUCAUAUUUGUGGGCAGCAGUCUAUACAUGGUUCAACUUAAAUCGAUGCAAUCCAAGAGGCUUUAUGGAACCAGUCAUUUUCCUUGCUACUAUCCUCUCACAAGAUUCUAUGCACCAGGUAAUUGCUCGUCCAUGGCCAAUAUUGUAGGAGUAACCUAA
Molecule: ribosomal RNA, 750 nt
Filed under: Triticum aestivum (bread wheat)
Lineage: Eukaryota; Viridiplantae; Streptophyta; Magnoliopsida; Poales; Poaceae
Description: partial small subunit ribosomal RNA
Source: RNAcentral